GGGGGUGAAAAUGGUUUCGACGGGAUGUGCGGGAUCAAGAUAAGCGAGCCGAAGCCCCGAGCUUCGUUAAAAGCGGGAAAAUAGUUAAUAAUAACUGGCAAAACAAAUACACUUCCCGUCGCUGCAUAAGCGGUGACGCGUCCGCCCGCAAAAACCUACCGUUGCGGAAUCGGGCGUCAUUAGGGUAGGGAACCGACCGUGCAAAGCUUUGAGUGCGGUUAGGACUAUGAAGCUACUAAAGCCGUGAUCCAUCCGACGGGAGCACGGGAGAGGGAACGAUAAAACGACGGAUACGCUCGUAGAAAGUUUUGCUUUCGACAUUUCGGACGGGGGUUCAACUCCCCCCACCUCCACCA
RNAcentral lists this transfer-messenger RNA (356 nucleotides) under Clostridia bacterium. It matches the Rfam family "transfer-messenger RNA". From Rfam's summary of the family: Bacterial tmRNA, also known as 10Sa RNA or SsrA, is named for its dual tRNA and mRNA-like properties. The record is from RNAcentral. Lineage: Bacteria; Bacillati; Bacillota; Clostridia.